RNAcentral lists this ribosomal RNA (476 nucleotides) under Corbicula fluminea. Its description in RNAcentral is "partial 16S ribosomal RNA". It matches the Rfam family "Bacterial large subunit ribosomal RNA", at positions 1817 to 2600 of the family's 2925-position model. Lineage: Eukaryota; Metazoa; Mollusca; Bivalvia; Venerida; Cyrenidae. The record is from RNAcentral.
GGCCUUUUGGRGAUUUAUAUAAAAGGUUGGGCCUGCCCGGUGAUCUGAAAUGGUUUAACGGCUGCGAUUGAAACCGUACUAAGGUAGCAUAAUAAUUUGCCCUUUAAUUGGGGGAGAGAAUGAAUGGUUUGACGGUAAAAAAGCUGUUUUAAAAAUAAAAAAAGAAGUUAACUUUUAAGUGAAAAGGCUUAAGUUUUUAUAAAAGACGAGAAGACCCCGUCGAGCUUAAUUAGAAUAACUUAAAUGUAGGUUAUUUAAAAUUUUAUUGGGGCAAUAGAAAAUGAAAUGAAUCAUUUUUUUUAUUAUAAGGAUCCAGUUUUGACUGAAAAAAGCAAAAGCUACCGCGGGGAUAACAGGGUAAUUUUUUCUGAGAGUUCAUAUUUAAGAAGAAGUUUGCUACCUCGAUGUUGGAUUAGAAUUUCUUUAUGCUUGCAGCAGGUAUAAUAGUAGGACUGUUCGUCCUUUAAAAUUUUACA